This 253-nucleotide ribosomal RNA is filed under the name uncultured bacterium. RNAcentral describes it as "partial 16S ribosomal RNA". It matches the Rfam family "Bacterial small subunit ribosomal RNA", at positions 524 to 776 of the family's 1533-position model. The record is from RNAcentral.
UACGUAGGGGGCAAGCGUUAUCCGGAUUUACUGGGCGUAAAGCGCGUUAAGGCGGUCGGCAAAGUUGGUGGUGAAAUUUCGGGGCUCAACCCCGAAACUGCCUCCAAUACUGGUCGACUAGAGUGCGAGAGAGGAAGGUGGAAUUCCCGGUGUAGUAGUGAAAUGCGUAGAUAUCGGGAGGAACACCAGUGGCGAAGGCGGCCUUCUGGCUCGUAACUGACGCUGUAGCGCGAAAGCGUGGGGAGCGAACGGG